AAGAAUCGCCCCGUUUUUUGAAAUGGGUUCUGUUCCCAAACCGUGUAUAUAUACCUUUGUUGCUUUGGCAGGCCGCCUAUUAGGCGUCGGCUCCGGCUGACUGCGCCUGUCAGAGGACCCAAACUCGUUUGUUUAGUGAUGUCUGAGUACUAUAUAAUAGUUA
RNAcentral lists this unclassified non-coding RNA (163 nucleotides) under uncultured Meliniomyces. Its description in RNAcentral is "sequence contains ITS1". Lineage: Eukaryota; Fungi; Ascomycota; Leotiomycetes; Helotiales; Helotiaceae. The record is from RNAcentral.